ACCAGUAGCUCUGUGGUAGCAAUAGCCGUGAGCAGCUCUGACAAGGUUCGAAAUGCCCGAAACUUGCACUAAGCCGGGUCUUGAAAAAUUCGCCUAGGUUUGUUUUUGUUUAAUUAUUGGUAGUCUUCUAAAAAUUAGCUUAUUUUUGGAUAUGAUUUCAUGAUAUUAUCAUCAAUAAUAGUUGAUAAUCUUCUUCUAAGCAUGAAUAUUAAGAUCCUAUGAACAUUUGCUCUAUAAUCGCAUAUUCGGGUUGAUUCAAAUUUUUGCUCAUAUUUUCAUCAUUUUAUUAUAUGCAUGUAUAUGUUUGUGUUCUUGUUAGAUGGGUAUUAUCUAGUUUCCUAUGAUUUUGAAAGGACCCCUUAACUAAGUUUUUCUAUUAAUUAUUUUUUUGUUUUUACUUAUAAUUUUGUACAUUCUCUAUUAAUAAUAAAGUGUUAAUGGUAAGGGAUUGCUGCAAGAAUUGGAUAAGUUGAUUAAUGAUUUCUAUAAUUGCUCAUGAACAGAUUUCUCCUUUACAAAUUAUGGAUGAUUACUAAUAUAUCCUUCUUGCCUUAGUUUUGAAGAAGAUAGGCAUAUUUUACAUGGUAAGAAUAUAUUCUUGAUAAUUGGUAAAAAGUUGAUUAAUUCACAUGUUUAUUUGACUAAUAUUUCUUUAUUCAUAUUACCUUUAAUUAAGAGCAGAUUCUUACUUGUAACAUGAUGGUAAAGUAUAUAUAUAAUUUGUAUGUGAAUAUUUCUUUCCUUACUUUCUUUUAUAUAGCAUUAAUUGGAUAUCCUCAAUUGUUUAUUUGCUUAUCUCAAAUAAAUUAAAAUAUAGUUUUUACUUGCUUUAUUUUGGUAAAAUUGUGAAUUAUUAUGGUAAAAUAUUUCAUUGAUUUGGUAAUGUUUUAUCUAAGAAAAUUAUAUUAUCCUUUCUAAAUUUUAUUUCUUACUUGCUUUCUCUCUUAAAAUAAGAAUAAUAUUAAGUGAUCACUUUUUCCAUUAAUAGUUGACUUGACUAGUUUUCACUUGUUUAUAUAUGACUUUAAUUUUUUUCCUUGUAAUAUUUAGUUGCUCAUAUAUAUUUGUAAAAUAUAUUUUUAUUCCUAAUUUUUCUUAUUUUUGGUAAUAAAAUAUUCUUAAAUUUUUUGAUUUUAGCUCUUCUUUAUCUAAGGAAAAAAUAUUAUUACUUUCUCUUAAUUUAUUCUUACUUGCUUAUAUUUGGUAAAAAAUAAUUAAUUUUUUUUCUACUUUUGGCUCUCCUUUAAAAUAAGGAAAUUGUGAUUAAUUGAUUCCUUUAUAUAUUUCUCUUCCUUAGUUAUUUCCUCCUCUUUGCCAUUAAAACAAGACCCUCCUCUCAUUUACUGAUUCACUCACAUUGACUCUCUAACAAGUUUCUCUCACACACUCACAUCUUGAGAAGAACUCACAUUCUCCAAACUCACACUAAACUCAUUCAUUCGCUCUCUCAAAACAAGAACUAGACUCUUCACUCUCUCAUUGGUAUCUUGCUACUCUAAAAAAUAAAUAAAUUAAGAUUGCGGUAAAACAUUCAAGUGCUCUUCUUUGCUACUUUGCUCUUUUGUUUUUGUUCAAAUAAAAGUUGGAUCAACUUGUUUUCAUUGCUACUAUUUCUUUUCUGCUUAACCGGUUAGUAUUCUUAAUUAGCAUUUUACUAUUAGUCAGCCCUCUAUUUUUUUUCAUUUUUUAUUUUGCAUCUAUUAUUAUUUUUGUGUGUUGGUAAUAAAAGGAAACACUUCUUAUCUUUUGCCCCUAUGUGUGUUGAUAUGUCUAUGCCUAUGUUUUGUCCUUUUUAUUUCUUAUGUGUUGCUUAUAUAUGUAUGUAUGCGAGUAUGCCUAUGUUUUGUCCUUUUUAUUUCUUAUGUGUUGCUUAUAUAUGUAUAUAUGCGAGUAAUUUGUUACUAUGAAUAUUUUACAUUAGAAUCAUUCUUCCAUUGUAUAUUUGUUACCUUACUUAUUCUAGCAGGUUUUGGACUUAAAGUUAAAGAUGAUGAAGAGUGGCCUAGAAGAAAUUUCGGACAAAGCUUUGUUUGUUUUAAUGUUGUGUAUAUUUUUAUCUGUUAUUUUUAUUACAACAUGUGUAUAACUCUAAAGCAACUCUUAUGUAUGAAACAAUUUUGGGGAUCGCCUAGGGAGGGGGAAUUAUGUGUUAAAUAUCUUCUUUUUCUUAUUUUCAUCAAACUUAUUUGUGUUAGAAAGCAUGCCUAUAGGUUCAUAAUUUAUUUUUUGAUAAAUUUUUAUGUGGUAAAGUAAUUUUUAGAUCUAACCAUAAAAAAAAAUAUAAAAUGAAUCAACUUUGCUCAAUCAUUUAGUUUAACUUUGCUCAAUUAAUGUUUGAAAUUAAUUUUAUCCAAAUUGACGUGUUAAGUAAUGAGUUAUGAUUAAUUUGCUAAAAUGUUAAUAACUUAUGUGCAUUUUA
This 2419-nucleotide long non-coding RNA is filed under the name Solanum lycopersicum (tomato). Its description in RNAcentral is "long non-coding RNA (SLYC_LNC001315)". The record is from RNAcentral. Lineage: Eukaryota; Viridiplantae; Streptophyta; Magnoliopsida; Solanales; Solanaceae.